Molecule: long non-coding RNA, 229 nt
Filed under: Elaeis guineensis (African oil palm)
Lineage: Eukaryota; Viridiplantae; Streptophyta; Magnoliopsida; Arecales; Arecaceae
Description: long non-coding RNA (EGUI_LNC074438)
Source: RNAcentral
UCAGGCAGUUACGGACGUCGCUGUCAAUCGGUUAUGCUCUCCCAUCUAUAAAAGAGAUCCCCCAGAUACGUUCUCCUCUAAGCUCUAAGCACUAUCUCUAAACUCUGCUAAAAUUCCAUUCGAGUGCUCCAUUUCUGUUGAAGCAGAGUACUAACUUGAGCAUCGGAGGGUUUUGCCGGAGCACCCCCAACUCUGGUUUAGACUUUCCUUGCAGGUCCCGACAGCGGCC